AACGAACGCUGGCGGCAUGCCUAACACAUGCAAGUCGAACGAGACCUUCGGGUCUAGUGGCGCACGGGUGCGUCACGCGUGGGAACCUGCCCUUAGGUUCGGCAUAACUCCCCGACAGGGGUGCUAAUACCGGAUAAUGUCUUGGGACCAAAGAUUUAUCGCCUUUGGAUGGGCCCGCGUUGGAUUAGCUAGUUGGUAGGGUAAAAGCCUACCAAGGCGACGAUCCAUAGCUGGUCUGAGAGGAUGAUCAGCCACACUGGGACUGAGACACGGCCCAGACUCCUACGGGAGGCAGCAGUGGGGAAUAUUGGACAAUGGGCGAAAGCCUGAUCCAGCCAUGCCGCGUGAGUGAUGAAGGCCUUAGGGUUGUAAAGCUCUUUUGCCCGGGAUGAUAAUGACAGUACCGGGAGAAUAAGCUCCGGCUAACUCCGUG
Molecule: ribosomal RNA, 433 nt
Filed under: uncultured bacterium
Lineage: Bacteria
Description: partial 16S ribosomal RNA
Rfam family: Bacterial small subunit ribosomal RNA
Source: RNAcentral